UACAGAGGUCUCAAGCGUUGUUCGGAUUCAUUGGGCGUAAAGGGUGCGUAGGCGGCGCGGUAAGUCGGGUGUGAAAUCUUGGAGCUUAACUCCGAAACUGCAUUCGAUACUGCCGUGCUUGAGGACUGGAGAGGAGAUUGGAAUUUACGGUGUAGCGGUGAAAUGCGUAGAUAUUGGGAAGAACACCGGUGGCGAAGGCGACCAUCUGGACGGAUACUGACGCUGAGACGCGAAAGCGUGGGGAGCAAACAGG
Molecule: ribosomal RNA, 253 nt
Filed under: uncultured bacterium
Lineage: Bacteria
Description: partial 16S ribosomal RNA
Rfam family: Bacterial small subunit ribosomal RNA
Source: RNAcentral